GACGAACGCUGGCGGCGUGCUUAACACAUGCAAGUCGAACGGAAAGGCACUGCUUUUGUGGGGUGCUCGAGUGGCGAACGGGUGAGUAACACGUGAGUAACCUGCCCUUGACUUUGGGAUAACUUCAGGAAACUGGGGCUAAUACCGGAUAGGAUCUCCUGCUGCAUGGUGGGGGUUGGAAAUUUUCGGCGGUUGGGGAUGGACUCGCGGCUUAUCAGCUUGUUGGUGGGGUAGUGGCUUACCAAGGCUUUGACGGGUAGCCGGCCUGAGAGGGUGACCGGCCACAUUGGGACUGAGAUACGGCCCAGACUCCUACGGGAGGCAGCAGUGGGGAAUAUUGCACAAUGGGCGGAAGCCUGAUGCAGAAACGCCGCGUGCGGGAUGACGGCCUUCGGGUUGUAAACCGCUUUCGCCUGUGACGACGCGUGAGUGACGGUAAUGGGUAAAGAAGCACCGGCUAACUACGUG
RNAcentral lists this ribosomal RNA (468 nucleotides) under uncultured bacterium. Its description in RNAcentral is "partial 16S ribosomal RNA". It matches the Rfam family "Bacterial small subunit ribosomal RNA", at positions 28 to 507 of the family's 1533-position model. The record is from RNAcentral.